GACGAACCGUGCGAACGUUGUUCGGAAUCACUGGGCUUAAAGGGCGCGUAGGCGGGCUCGCAAGUCCGGGGUGAAAGCCCCCAGCUCAACUGGGGAAGCGCCUUGGAUACUGCGGGCCUCGAGGGAGGUAGGGGCGUGCGGAACUUCCGGUGGAGCGGUGAAAUGCGUAGAUAUCGGAAGGAACACCGGUGGCGAAAGCGGCGCGCUGGACCUCUUCUGACGCUGAGGCGCGAAAGCCAGGGGAGCAAACGGG
This 253-nucleotide ribosomal RNA is filed under the name uncultured bacterium. Its description in RNAcentral is "partial 16S ribosomal RNA". It matches the Rfam family "Bacterial small subunit ribosomal RNA", at positions 524 to 776 of the family's 1533-position model. The record is from RNAcentral.